RNAcentral lists this long non-coding RNA (797 nucleotides) under Mus pahari (shrew mouse). RNAcentral describes it as "predicted gene 16193 (MGP_PahariEiJ_G0002852.1)". Lineage: Eukaryota; Metazoa; Chordata; Mammalia; Rodentia; Muridae. The record is from RNAcentral.
CUGAGGGACAGGAAGACUCAUCCUUUCUGCCCACUUAGUUAGGCAAACCGAAGUGCUCUCCUUCCAAAAGACAGGGCGGCGUCAUGGUACUGUGGUGAAGAAAAGGAGUCAGGUGCAUACGGCUGGGAGGAUGCUGACCGUGGUCCAGGUCUCCCUCUCCGUUCAUCAGGUUUAAGGAGCGAUGCUAAGAGAUAACUGUCCGAUUCGCCAUGGGUUAAUAGAAACCAGAACAAGCCCCAGAUGGGGAGCACAACGAAAAGUCAUAAAUGCAGAAUUCAAGGGGGACAACAUUCAAACACACGACACCCAGUACAAAGUGGAUCCAACAACCAAGAAAGGAGAAACUGGACGGACAAGGACUCCCAUAGAGAAAAAAAAAAAAAUUUAAAGCUGAAUACUUGUCUCCUGACCUCUUCUGACAUACGGCGUGAACAUCAUCUCUGCUUGGGGCCAAGAAGAUCUGAGACGAAGAAUGCUGUGCAGAACAAUGUUUCCUCCCGGAGCAACACAGCCAGGCAUGUGAAGACAGAGCCACUACGCUAGGACACUGCCCUUGGCUUUCAGCCUUUGAGAACAGUAGCAAGAGCUGGCGGUGGGUGGAACUUUUGGCGACCAUGUUUUAACUGAUUUUUUUUGUCAUUAAGACAAGAGGCUGAGCAGGAAGGGUGGACAGACAAUAAAGCAGGAGGUGACAUUAAUCACCAAACAUAGAGUGACCUUUCUCCAGGCCUCCUUUAAAUUAGAUGUAUAGCCUUGUGUGUUUAAGGCAAUUGCUAACUGUUUCACCCUGCUCUGAC